RNAcentral lists this unclassified non-coding RNA (328 nucleotides) under soil metagenome. RNAcentral describes it as "partial contains 5.8S ribosomal RNA, internal transcribed spacer 2, and large subunit ribosomal RNA". The stretch from base 1 to 120 matches the Rfam family "5.8S ribosomal RNA", at positions 35 to 154 of the family's 154-position model. The record is from RNAcentral.
GAUGAAGAACGCAGCGUAAUGCGAUAAGUAAUGUGAAUUGCAGAAUUCAGUGAAUCAUCGAAUCUUUGAACGCACAUUGCGCCCCCUGGUAUUCCGGGGGGCAUGCCUGUUCGAGCGUCAUUUCAACCCUCAAGCUCUGCUUGGUAUUGAGUCCAUGUCAGCAAUGGCAGGCUCCAAAAUCAGUGGCGGCGCCGCUGGGUCCUGAACGUAGUAAUAUCUCUCGUUACAGGUGCUCGGCGUGCUUCUGCCAAAACCCCAAUUUUUCUAUGGUUGACCUCGGAUCAGGUAGGGAUACCCGCUGAACUUAAGCAUAUCAAUAAGCGGAGGA